GAUGAACGCUGGCGGCGUGCCUAAUACAUGCAAGUCGAGCGAACAGACGAGGAGCUUGCUCCUCUGACGUUAGCGGCGGACGGGUGAGUAACAAGUGGAUAACCUACCUAUAAGACUGGGAUAACUUCGGGAAACCGGAGCUAAUACCGGAUAAUAUAUUGAACCGCAUGGUUCAAUAGUGAAAGACGGUUUUGCUGUCACUUAUAGAUGGAUCAGCGCCGCAUUAGCUAGUUGGUAAGGUAACGGCUUACCAAGGCAACGAGGCGUAGCCGACCUGAGAGGGUGAUCGGCCACACUGGAACUGAGACACGGUCCAGACUCCUACGGGAGGCAGCAGUAGGGAAUCUUCCGCAAUGGGCGAAAGCCUGACGGAGCAACGCCGCGUGAGUGAUGAAGGUCUUCGGAUCGUAAAACUCUGUUAUUAGGGAAGAACAAAUGUGUAAGUAACUAUGCACGUCUUGACGGUACCUAAUCAGAAAGCCACGGCUAACUACGUG
Molecule: ribosomal RNA, 497 nt
Filed under: uncultured bacterium
Lineage: Bacteria
Description: partial 16S ribosomal RNA
Rfam family: Bacterial small subunit ribosomal RNA
Source: RNAcentral